Molecule: long non-coding RNA, 1216 nt
Organism: Cyprinus carpio (common carp)
Lineage: Eukaryota; Metazoa; Chordata; Actinopteri; Cypriniformes; Cyprinidae
Source: Ensembl
AAGCUAGACAACUUGCAAAAAGACUUGAAAAUGCCCCAACUGCACCUUCUCCAGAAAGUGGAAACUAGGUGGAAUUCCACCUAUUUAAUGCUAGAGAGGUUUUUUAACCUUCGGGAACCCCUCUCUGCAGCAAUGAGCAACAUGGACCUACCCAUGUUUUCCCCCAGGACUGGACUGCAAUGGUUGAUGCAACUGAGGUCCUGAGACCAUUCCUGGAGGUGACAGAGGAAAUGUCUGCUGAAAGCCACGUCACAUCCACAUUAAUUGUCUCGGUGCACAACUUGCAGAAGCUGACUGGAAGUAUGGCAAUCACUUAUGCUCCAGAGUCUGUUGGUCAGAGGCUAGCUAGCUCUUUAAACAAGCACCUGACCAAAAGGUGUGGCGACUAUGAAUCAACUAGAUUCCUUGCAGUGUCAAUGUUGCUGGAUCCUCGAUUUAAAAAAGCAUCAUGCGGCAUGGAUACAAACGCAGACAGCGCUGUUCGAGCGUUNUUUUUUCUUCUUUUAUUAAGACUUUUUUUAUAGAAUUGAAAACCUAAUUCAGUUUGAUAUCGGUCGCUUCAAUUGUAAACUAUUUUAAACGUCUGCUCUGCUCAUCCAGCACGAGCUGCUGAUAUCAAAGCUAUCUUAGGCUGGGCUGUGUGGGUAUAACACCUCUUAGCUCUGGUCUCUGUUUGCACUUUGAAUAUUGAGAGAGUUCUCUGAUUAUGGUUGCAUUUAUUGUUUGCAUAUAAUAAGACUAAGAAAAAAAAACUAAAUGAAACUGAAUUUUUAUUUCUAUGUUCAAUUUGUGGAAAGGAGUUAAUUUUAGGAGGUCAAACGUGCAGCCUCAGUCAGAAGUUCUGGAAGCUCAGAAUUCAUGUACAGUAAGGUCUGAAGCGACUCGUGUGAAAUCAUACAGGAGAGAAGCCAGUCAGAGUUUGUGGCAAAACCUUUUAUAGUGCUUAUAUAUUGUCUUUCAGUGCAUUUGAUAAUUCAUACUCAGAAAGUAGAACUGAAAUGAAAUUCAUUACAAGAUGAUUAGUUAUAACAUUUCAAAAUGUACCUGCAGAAUAUUUUUCCAGUCAUUAAUUUUUAUCAUUGAGGAUUUCUUAAAAAUACAGCAAAAAGCUUCUCUUCGUUCUUGUGAACCCAAUCUUGUGUCUCGUGAGCUAAGUGUCUCGUCACACACCCCUACUGUUAAUAAAUGAGAAAAUUAGAAUGUGUUUUUCUUUUUC